UACCUGACUAUUAAUUAUCCAAAAUGGCUUAGCAAAGCAAGACUGGAUGCAAAGAGAAAUGCUGGUGUCUCAGAACUUGACGAGACUUGCAAAGAUUUCCCUCCAACAUACAUUACAAAAGAAAAAUGGGGACCAAUGAUGGACAAGUUUUUGGCACCAGAGUUCGUAAAAAAAUCAAAAAAAAGAAUUCAGCAAAUCGAACUAAAAACGACGAUUAUUUGGUGUACAAGGGUGGAUCGGCUUCUUUU
Molecule: long non-coding RNA, 248 nt
Filed under: Zostera marina
Lineage: Eukaryota; Viridiplantae; Streptophyta; Magnoliopsida; Alismatales; Zosteraceae
Description: long non-coding RNA (ZMAR_LNC003042)
Source: RNAcentral